Rhipicephalus microplus (southern cattle tick) is the source of this 426-nucleotide long non-coding RNA. The record is from RefSeq and is a predicted model, not a curated record. NCBI's taxonomy places the organism in Eukaryota, Metazoa, Arthropoda, Arachnida, Ixodida, Ixodidae.
CUUUGAGAGAGACCUGCACAAGGUGCAGAAUUCAAGAAAUCGACAGGAGAAGCAUGCCGACUGGUCAGCAGCUACCUUCCAGCGAAAAAAGUUGAAGCUACAGGGGACAAAGAAGGUGUGCACUGCAACGAUGCAUGUGAAACAAGUAGAGUUGUAUCCGGAAUUCAGGAUCAACAUCCCACAACCAUGUACCAAAUGGCAGCACGAAACAGCUUCAAAGGAAAUGAUCUCUCGACUGAGGUUGGCAUUGCAAGAAGAAGCUAGUGGUAAACCUGUUCUGCACCAGCAUCCCUUCUAUGUCUGUAUGUCCGACAGGGAAAGCCACUCUAAUCAUGACAUUGAUGCUCGCUGGGCAGGCUACGCACAGCCGAUAAAUUCAGAAGUGUCCAAAAAAAUUUGUGAGCUUGUACAACAAGGUGUGACAUC